UUGUGAAUCUCUGCUGCUGCCACUGCCUAACUACUGGCUGUGACUGCUAAGCAUCUACCGCGAGCGCUGCCUUACUCUGUGCCAAGCCCCAAGCCCCGACCAGGCACUGCAGGCCAAGGUGCUCCGGAGAAGACAAGGGUGAGGCUAAGCUUAGCACAUGCCAGGCAUCCUCUCCUAUGGAAAUUCUUGGAGAUGGAGGGAAAAGUACUAGCACAGCCACAGUAAGGCUUCCUCUGAAGGACAGAGCUGGAGGACAGCUACCACCGGGAAGGAGAAUCAAGUUCUGGUACUGCUGCCCCUCCCACCCGCCUUGCUCCGCAAACACCAACCUCUUCACUCAACAGCUGUGAAAUUAGACCAUGUCAUCAGGCUAAAUAGGAAAUUGAAUAAUUUAUGCAAAAUGAAAUUCUCACGAAAGGAGGCCUGUUCUUCUAAUGAUUAAGCUUAGCAUCACCAGUGGGCAGCCAGUGAUUGCUCGAGGGAUGGACAGUCCAACGUCGGGAGACUUCAGUCACAAAUCGGACACUUACUGAAUGUGCUUCCUGCCGGUUAUUUAAUGGCUCCAUUUUUCAACUCGCUCGCUUGUAAAAUAACCGUGUUGAACUAGAAUCUGAAUUUUAGACUUGGAGUUGCCCUAAAAUGAAGGGGAGAGGAAGUACCUAUUAUGGACAAGAACGUAAUAGACAGGUGUUAAUCACCUUUAUUCCACAUAGGAAGAAACAUACCUAAAAGGGUAAGAACAUUGACAAGGUGGUGACUGAGCUAGGAUUCAGGCCUCUGCCGUCUGACUCCUUCUCUUUAGGAUUUUGUAGGUUGGGGAAGUGAGGUGAAACAUACCUAAAAGGGUAAGAACAUUGACAAGGUGGUGACUGAGCUAGGAUUCAGGCCUCUGCCGUCUGACUCCUUCUCUUUAGGAUUUUGUAGGUUGGGGAAGUGAGGUGUCAGUGGGCUGAAUGAUUUGUGCAGGGUACGCAGCACGUUGGCAGGUUGGCAAGUUAGCAAGUUAUCAAGGUAGAGUUGAGGCCAGAACCCAGAUUUAUUGAUGCCAAUCAUGUUUUUACUUUUUCUCCCUUUUAACUGUGGGUGCAGAUUCAAAUUAUGUGUAGUCCUCAAUUUAUUGUUGACUAACAUCCAUUAAACCAUUAUUGCUACCAUCUUGGUUUAUUAUAUUUUUCCGUUUCAUUUUCUACCCUCUCUGUAAUUUGCCUUGGGGUGGGAUGGAAGGGGGAUAUUUUUGGAUCUGUUAUGGCAGGUCACUAAUUUGUUCUUUGGCUAUGUACCUUCGACUGUGUAGCCUAGCUCUCAAGUUUGGUAUUUUAACCAUCUUAAAAAUAUAAUCAAGUGUUCCCA
This 1350-nucleotide long non-coding RNA is filed under the name Sus scrofa (pig). RNAcentral describes it as "lncRNA (ENSSSCG00030047209.1)". The record is from RNAcentral. Lineage: Eukaryota; Metazoa; Chordata; Mammalia; Artiodactyla; Suidae.